This 219-nucleotide ribosomal RNA is filed under the name uncultured bacterium. RNAcentral's name for it is "partial 16S ribosomal RNA". It matches the Rfam family "Bacterial small subunit ribosomal RNA", at positions 28 to 254 of the family's 1533-position model. The record is from RNAcentral.
GACGAACGCUGGCGGCGUGCCUAACACAUGCAAGUCGAGCGAGAGACUUCGGUCUCUAGCGGCGGACGGGUGAGUAACACGUGGGUAACCUGCCUCGUAGUGGGGGAUAGCCUUCCGAAAGGAAGAUUAAUACCGCAUAACAUCAAAUUGCCGCAUGGUAGUUUGAUCAAAGGAGUAAUCCGUUAUGAGAUGGACCCGCGGCGCAUUAGCUAGUUGGUG